CCUACGGGUGGCAGCAGUGAGGAAUAUUGGUCAAUGGGCGAGAGCCUGAACCAGCCAAGUCGCGUGAAGGAUGACGGCCCUACGGGUUGUAAACUUCAUUUGUCAGGGAGCAAUUGGGUCCACGCGUGGGCUUAGCGAGAGCAACUGAAGAAAAAGCAUCGGCUAAUUCCGUGCCGGCAGCCGCGGUAAUACGGAGGAUGCGAGCGUUAUCCGGAUUUAUUGGGUUAAAGGGGUGCGUAGGAGGAAUAUCAAGUCAGCGGUAAAAAUUCGGGGCUCAACCCCGUCGUGCCGUUGAAACUGUUGUUCUUGAGUGGGUGAGAAGUAUGCGGAAUGCGUGGUGUAGCGGUGAAAUGCAUAGAUAUCACGCAGAACUCCGAUUGCGAAGGCAGCAUACCGGCGCCCAACUGACGCUGAGGCACGAAAGCGUGGGUAUCGAACAGGAUUAGAUACCCUGGUAGUC
This 460-nucleotide ribosomal RNA is filed under the name uncultured bacterium. RNAcentral describes it as "partial 16S ribosomal RNA". It matches the Rfam family "Bacterial small subunit ribosomal RNA", at positions 338 to 795 of the family's 1533-position model. The record is from RNAcentral.